UCCAUUCGCAAAUGGGCAUAAAUGGAAUUUUGGUGUUCGUCAGGUAGUUGAGCCCAACUUGGCAAUACAGCCCACUAGAAUUAGGGUUUCGCUAGUAUAUAGUUACCUGCGAAGCAUGAAACGUAGCACUCUCUUAGUCUUUUUCCGCAGCCAGGUUUUCGAAUCAAAGAAAGAAGGGAACACAAAGCUUGGUUGCCUUGCCGCCAUGAGAGCCAAGUGGAAGAAGAAGCGUAUGAGGAGGUUGAAGAGGAAGCGCCGAAAGAUGAGGCAGAGAUCCAAGUAGUUUUCUAUUUUAUCAACAAUAGAGGGCUGUCGUUCGCUUUAGUGUUUGUCCCUGUUUAUGUUUGUUUUAUUAUCACUACUGAUUUCAGAUAAGUAGAGCAUCGCUGUUUUAAAUGUCAUGGUUUUGUUAGACCUUUUAAACUGAAUGGAAAUGGGAUUUUGUUUUGCUUA
Molecule: long non-coding RNA, 453 nt
Organism: Populus nigra (black poplar)
Lineage: Eukaryota; Viridiplantae; Streptophyta; Magnoliopsida; Malpighiales; Salicaceae
Exons: 2
Source: RefSeq, a predicted model, not a curated record